GUGGGCACAGAAGACACCCUUGCCCUCCGACUCUGAAAAGCCCCUAAGACCAGAUCCCACUUAAUCUCUUUUCUCCUAAGGUCACCUGGUGUUCAGGAAAGAACUUCGGAGUGUCCCAGGCGCUGCCCCCAUGGGGGCCUCACCCAGUUGAGGUCCCCAUCCCAUCAUCUUAAGAGGAACACCACAGGUUAACCCAAGCGCUGCCUCUAGGCAGGAGAUCUGCAGACACCUGGUCUGCAUGGAACCUGGAGCACUAAUCCAUAAGUGGAGCCUGGGAAGGGGACCUUGUCCUAUCCCAGGACAGAGGAGAAAGCAAGUGCAGCAGUGGCCAAGAGCUGUCCUGGGCCUCCUGACAACUGAGGAGCUGGAUGCAGCGGGGCUCUUCUCAGCCCUGAGUCAGAGGUGAAGACUCUUCCGCCAUCCUGUCAUCAGAUUCGUUCUCCUAACAAGCUCGCAUCCUGGGCAGAGCUUGUUCGUGUGAUGCCCACUUUAGAGGUAGAGCUGGGAGAGAACAAGGUGUUCCCCCAGGGCUCCUUCGCCUGGGAAUCCAGCUCCUCCAGCUGGAGCCCCGAUGCUCUGAAGCUAGAGCCUCACUUUCUCCCAUCAAACUCUGGCUCUGCCCCUUCCCAGCUCUGGGAUUUUGGUCAAAUUCCUUGCCUUCUCUGUGCUGAAGUUCCCCUAUCUAAACAAUGGGGAUUGUUAUGAAGGCUAAAUGAAAUAAACAUGCAGCA
This 731-nucleotide long non-coding RNA is filed under the name Homo sapiens (human). Its description in RNAcentral is "PREDICTED lncRNA (TCONS_00022609)". Lineage: Eukaryota; Metazoa; Chordata; Mammalia; Primates; Hominidae. The record is from RNAcentral.